UCCGGUUUGUCACCGGCAGUCUCGCAUGAGUCCCCAACUUAAUGCUGGCAACAUGCGACGGGGGUUGCGCUCGUUGCGGGACUUAACCCAACAUUUCACAACACGAGCUGACGACAGCCAUGCACCACCUGUGAAUCACCCUCGAAGGCGACUACGCUUCGGUAGCUUGCAGAUCCAUGUCAAGCCCUGGUAAGGUUCUUCGCGUUGCAUCGAAUUAAGCCACAUGCUCCACCGCUUGUGCGGGCCCCCGCCAAUUCCUUUGAGUUUCAGCCUUGCGGCCGUACUCCCCAGGCGGGGCACUUAUCGCGUUAGCUACGGCACUGACGGGGUCGCUCCCCCCAGCACCUAGUGCCCAUCGUUUACGGCGUGGACUAC
RNAcentral lists this unclassified non-coding RNA (375 nucleotides) under uncultured bacterium. RNAcentral's name for it is "contains 16S-23S intergenic spacer region". The record is from RNAcentral.